Molecule: ribosomal RNA, 468 nt
Filed under: uncultured bacterium
Lineage: Bacteria
Description: partial 16S ribosomal RNA
Rfam family: Bacterial small subunit ribosomal RNA
Source: RNAcentral
GACGAACGCUGGCGGCGUGCCUAAUACAUGCAAGUCGAACGGAAAGGCCCUGCUCUUGCGGGGUGCUCGUGUGGCGAACGGGUGAGUAACACGUGAGUAACCUGCCCUUGACUUUGGGAUAAAUUCAGGAAACUGGGGCUCAUACCGGGUAGGAGCUCUUGCAGCAUGGUGGGGGUUGGAAAGUUUCGGCGGUUGGGGAUGGUCUAGCGGCUUAUCAGCUUGUUGGUGGGGUAGUGGCUUACGAAGGCUGUGACGGGUAGCCGGCAUGAGAGGGUGGCCGGGGACAUGGGGACUAAGGGAGGGCCCAGACGCCAACGGGAGGCAGCAGUGGGGAGUAUUACGCAGUGGGCGGAAGCGUGAGGUAGCGACGUCGCGUGCGGAAUAACGUCCUUCGAGGGAUGAACCGCUGUCGCCGUUAACAAGGCGUGAUUGACGGUAAUUAAUAAGAAAGCACCGGCUAACUACGUG